RNAcentral lists this long non-coding RNA (1321 nucleotides) under Helianthus annuus (common sunflower). RNAcentral's name for it is "hypothetical non coding rna". Lineage: Eukaryota; Viridiplantae; Streptophyta; Magnoliopsida; Asterales; Asteraceae. The record is from RNAcentral.
UUCAACCCACGUCUACAUCUUCAACCCACGUCUUCAUCCUUCCCCUAUUGAUAAGUUUCAUUGGUUUCUCUAGAAACUCCCCACUCCCCUACUACUUCGCCUGAAACUAGUAACAACCCCGCUCCCCAUAUUCCACCGUUGUUGUUACGCACAGACUUACAAACCCUGGAACCCCUUCUUCUUCUUCUUCUUCUUCUCCUCUCUCUCUCUAGCGAUGACAUAAGCACUUCCAAAAACAAAGAUCAGUGCAAUUCUUAUAGUUGCAACGCAACAAUCGAACCCUAAUCGAACAACCACUGCCCUCGCUUCGACGACUCCUGCAAUGUGAUUUGUUCUAUUUCACAUGACCAAAUUCUAUGGUGGUGGUAUGAAUGGUUUAAGAGGGUUUAAGGAGAAAUGAUGAGCAGGGGGAUCCUGAACUUGGACUUUUGGAGUAUUUUGAUUUUGGUUUACCAAUACAACCUGUUUGAUGAAAUGCCUAAGUAAAAUUCAAUGUAAGGUCCUUCUAAUUUUGUUCUUGGAAAUUAAACAGGCUACAAAGGUGCAAUGUAAGAGUUCUCCCGCUGCGGUACACCUCUCUACGGAACUCACCCACAUCUCGAGUUCGAUCCCUCUUGGGUAACUUACCAUAGUUGGUUCAGCUCAAAUCACUUCUUUUUUCUGUUGUAUGAGUCAAAACAGGUUGGAUCAGGCCAAUUCCGCAAAAAAAGUUUCUCCUUUUUUAUGAAUUUUAUAAAUAAUUAGCAGUUGGGUAUGAUCAUAGAUGUACAAGAUUGCAUUAUUUUAAUUACAGCUAUAAUGUUAACUUUUUUAUAAAUUAUAGAAGGUUUUAUGCAUUUGAAUACAUUUCGGAUUACUUUCAAGGGGAUGACUACCCAGUUCCUCCUCCGUCGUUCCUUUAAGGUGGAAAGCUGGCAUACGGCCUUGUGCAUGCGGUAGCUGGUGGUUUGGAUGUUAUUGUGCCAAUGGGCAAAUGCAUUGUUACUCGGGGCUUUUCUUCAGAAUUUGUUAUGCUAUUGCAAAACAUUUCAGGGUCAUUGUAACAAAUAUUCAACUUGAGUGAGUUUUUUGGAUGGAUCAACUAGGCAUGACUUCACUUGCAAAAGUACUAAAGGAUAUGUUUGUUAUGCAGGCAGCCCGGUCAGAGCGUCAAUAAGUGCUGAGUGCUUUGGCCAUUCUCUUGCCUUAUGCCACCACCCUCUUUAUGUCGGAUGCUUCUACUGCUGCAUCUGCACAUCAUGCUUUGAAUGAUGAUAUAAUAUAAUUUCAUUUCAAAUGCAUGUUAGCCAUUGUUGCAUCAGAGCAAAAAAGAGUGUAAUGU